UACGUAGGGGGCAAGCGUUAUCCGGAUUUACUGGGCGUAAAGCGCGUGUAGGCGGUUGCGCAAGUUGGUUGUGAAAUCUCCCGGCUCAACCGGGAAACUGCAGCCAAAACUGCGCGGCUAGAGUGGCAGAGAGGAAAGUGGAAUUCCCGGUGUAGUAGUGAAAUGCGUAGAUAUCAGGAGGAACACCUGCGGUGUAGACGGCUUACUGGACCAUAACUGACGCUGAGGCACGAAAGCGUGGGUAGCAAACAGG
RNAcentral lists this ribosomal RNA (253 nucleotides) under uncultured bacterium. Its description in RNAcentral is "partial 16S ribosomal RNA". It matches the Rfam family "Bacterial small subunit ribosomal RNA", at positions 524 to 776 of the family's 1533-position model. The record is from RNAcentral.